RNAcentral lists this unclassified non-coding RNA (398 nucleotides) under soil metagenome. Its description in RNAcentral is "partial contains 5.8S ribosomal RNA, internal transcribed spacer 2, and large subunit ribosomal RNA". The stretch from base 5 to 121 matches the Rfam family "5.8S ribosomal RNA", at positions 40 to 154 of the family's 154-position model. The record is from RNAcentral.
GAUGAGAACGUAGCGAAAUGCGAUACUUGGUGUGAAUUGCAGAAUCCCGUGAACCAUCGAGUCUUUGAACGCAAGUUGCGCCUCAAGCCAUUAGGUUGAGGGCACGUCUGCCUGGGCGUCACAUAUCGUUGCCUGAUGCCAGUUUCCUCGUGAUGGGUGACUGUGCAGGGCGAAUGAUGGCUUCCCGUGAGCAUUGUUGCCUCAUGGUUGGUUGAAAAUUGAGUCCUUGGUAGGGAGCGCCGUGAUAGAUGGUGGUUGAGUGACGAACGAGACCCAAUCAUGUGAGACCCCUACCGAAUUUGGCCUUCAUGACCCACAUGCGUCUUUGGAACGCUCAUGACGAGACCUCAGGUCAGGCGGGGCUACCCGCUGAGUUUAAGCAUAUCAAUAAGCGAGGA